UGACUACUCAGUAGUGACUCAUUAUGGAACUAUUUGAAACUAUGUAUUUUUUUUUUUAAUCAGAAAGUACAACUGCCUAUAAUCAAUGUUAUCUCUUCAAAUCCAAGCGAUCCUAAAAUCUGGCCCCUACUUCCCUUCAAAACAACAGACAGCAAAUCUGAGGAAGAGAAAACUUAUUAUUCUUUGUGGGGCUGACAGCUUCCCUGGCCCCCAUUGCACACUGAUCAAGGCACCUUCCCCUGCAAAACAAGACAGACAAGAUGGACAGACAUUUCCCUUCCAUCCCUCCUCGUGAGGCACCAGGAGCAGCAGAGGAUCUGCAAUCAGAAGACCCAGGAGAAGAAAAGUUAUGGAUACCAUCAAAAUUGAUAAAGAUUCAGUUUGAAAAAGAGAAAUCUCUUGAGAAAGAGAAAAGAUGGCUCAUCCACAGAGGUGACAAUCAUACAGAUGAUUCCAAACAUGCAGGCCUGACAGCUAUGACCUCAGAAGGAAACUUCACUAAAGCAACUUCUGUGUGUUCUGCAUAAAGCUGCAGCCUGGGAAGGGGGUGACUCACUGUUCGCUGAAGGU
This is a long non-coding RNA of Alexandromys fortis (reed vole), 570 nucleotides long. RefSeq lists it as uncharacterized. Lineage: Eukaryota; Metazoa; Chordata; Mammalia; Rodentia; Cricetidae. The record is from RefSeq and is a predicted model, not a curated record. The transcript is spliced from 3 exons.